UAGGGUAUAGCAUAACCCGAAUGUAUUUCGCUUACACCGAAAAGAUACUUUAAAUUGAGUUACCCUAA
Molecule: transfer RNA, 68 nt
Filed under: Cerithium coralium
Lineage: Eukaryota; Metazoa; Mollusca; Gastropoda; Cerithiidae
Description: tRNA-Val
Source: RNAcentral